UCUGGGUGUGGUGGUGCGUGCCUAUAAUCCCAGUGACUGGGGAGGUUGAGGCAAGAGGAUCCCUAGUUUGAGGCUGGCCUGGGUAACUUAGUGAGUUCCUGUCUCAA
RNAcentral lists this small RNA (107 nucleotides) under Marmota monax (woodchuck). Lineage: Eukaryota; Metazoa; Chordata; Mammalia; Rodentia; Sciuridae. The record is from RNAcentral.